GUGAGGAAUUUUCCGCAAUGGGCGAAAGCCUGACGGAGCAAUGCCGCGUGAAGGAUGAAGGCCUAUGGGUUGUAAACUUCUUUUCUCAGAAAAGAAUUAUGACGGUAUCUGAGGAAUAAGCAUCGGCUAACUCUGUGCCAGCAGCCGCGGUAAGACAGAGGAUGCAAGCGUUAUCCGGAAUGAUUGGGCGUAAAGCGUCUGUAGGUUGUUUAAAAAGUAUUCUGUCAAAGAUUAGGGCUUAACCCUAGAUAGGCAGAAUAAACUUUUAAGCUAGAGUUUGGUAGAGGCAGAGGGAAUUCCCGGUGGAGCGGUGAAAUGCGUAGAUAGCGGGAGGAACACCAAAGGCGAAGGCACUCUGCUGGGCCAAUACUAACACUGAGAGACGAAAGCGAGGGGAGCAAAUGGGAUUAGAAACCCUGGUAGUCC
RNAcentral lists this ribosomal RNA (426 nucleotides) under uncultured bacterium. RNAcentral's name for it is "partial 16S ribosomal RNA". It matches the Rfam family "Bacterial small subunit ribosomal RNA", at positions 354 to 796 of the family's 1533-position model. The record is from RNAcentral.